RNAcentral lists this ribosomal RNA (534 nucleotides) under Saccharomyces cerevisiae (brewer's yeast). RNAcentral describes it as "eukaryotic LSU rRNA". It matches the Rfam family "Eukaryotic large subunit ribosomal RNA", at positions 91 to 639 of the family's 3401-position model. The record is from RNAcentral. Lineage: Eukaryota; Fungi; Ascomycota; Saccharomycetes; Saccharomycetales; Saccharomycetaceae.
GAGUGAAGCGGCAAAAGCUCAAAUUUGAAAUCUGGUACCUUCGGUGCCCGAGUUGUAAUUUGGAGAGGGCAACUUUGGGGCCGUUCCUUGUCUAUGUUCCUUGGAACAGGACGUCAUAGAGGGUGAGAAUCCCGUGUGGCGAGGAGUGCGGUUCUUUGUAAAGUGCCUUCGAAGAGUCGAGUUGUUUGGGAAUGCAGCUCUAAGUGGGUGGUAAAUUCCAUCUAAAGCUAAAUAUUGGCGAGAGACCGAUAGCGAACAAGUACAGUGAUGGAAAGAUGAAAAGAACUUUGAAAAGAGAGUGAAAAAGUACGUGAAAUUGUUGAAAGGGAAGGGCAUUUGAUCAGACAUGGUGUUUUGUGCCCUCUGCUCCUUGUGGGUAGGGGAAUCUCGCAUUUCACUGGGCCAGCAUCAGUUUUGGUGGCAGGAUAAAUCCAUAGGAAUGUAGCUUGCCUCGGUAAGUAUUAUAGCCUGUGGGAAUACUGCCAGCUGGGACUGAGGACUGCGACGUAAGUCAAGGAUGCUGGCAUAAUGGUU